This 405-nucleotide ribosomal RNA is filed under the name uncultured bacterium. RNAcentral's name for it is "partial 16S ribosomal RNA". It matches the Rfam family "Bacterial small subunit ribosomal RNA", at positions 28 to 526 of the family's 1533-position model. The record is from RNAcentral.
GACGAACGCUGGCGGCGUGCUUAACACAUGCAAGUCGAGCGGAGCGGCGAACGGGUGAGUAACGCGUGAGUAACUGCCCCCCUCUCUGGGAUAACAGUUGGAAACGGCUGCUAAUACCGGAUAGUGGGGGAUGACUCGCGUCCUAUCCGCUUGUUGGUGGGGUAGUGGCCUCCCAAGGGGACGACGGGUACCCGGCCUGGGAGGGCGACCGGCCACAUUGGGCUGAGGUACGGACCAGACUCGUACGGGAGGCAGCGGGGGAGAAUAUGGCGCAGUGGGGGAAACCAUGAUGCAGCAACGCCGCGUGCGGGAUGACGGCCUUCGGGUUGUAAACCGCUUUCAGCCAUGACGCGGUAGUGGCAGAAGAAGCACCGGCUAACUACGUGCCAGCAGCCGCGGUAAUAC